CUCCUUUUUAGAGACAAAAGUCGACGGUUAUCUAACGGGCUGCUGCAUCAUCCUAUUUCCGUCUUAUAUCUAGUCCUUUAGCUCAGUUGGUUAGAGCGCUACACUGAUAAUGUAGAGGUCCGCAGUUCAAAUCUGCGAAGGACUACGGAGUAAGAUGGGGAAUUAGCUCAGCUGGCUAGAGCGCCUGCUUUGCACGCAGGAGGUCAUCGGUUCGACUCCGAUAUUCUCCACUAGGAAAGUUCUUUGACAUAUUGGUAGAAAAAUAAAACUUUAUAAGUAAUUAAGAGCAAUUGGCGGAUGCCUUGGCUCACAACAGCGAUGAAGGACGUGAUAAGCUGCGAUAAGCUACACUGAGACGCAAAUAGUCUUUAAGGUGUAGAUUUCCG
Molecule: unclassified non-coding RNA, 386 nt
Filed under: uncultured Bacteroidota bacterium
Lineage: Bacteria; Pseudomonadati; Bacteroidota
Description: uncultured Bacteroidetes bacterium partial 16S-23S ribosomal RNA intergenic spacer
Rfam family: Bacterial large subunit ribosomal RNA (bases 271-386)
Source: RNAcentral